RNAcentral lists this ribosomal RNA (399 nucleotides) under uncultured Eubacteriales bacterium. Its description in RNAcentral is "bacterial SSU rRNA". It matches the Rfam family "Bacterial small subunit ribosomal RNA", at positions 28 to 419 of the family's 1533-position model. Lineage: Bacteria; Bacillati; Bacillota; Clostridia; Eubacteriales. The record is from RNAcentral.
GAUGAACGCUGGCGGCGUGCUUAACACAUGCAAGUCGAACGGGCUUAGCAGAAAGCUUGCUUUUUGCAAAAGCUAGUGGCGAACGGGUGAGUAACACGUGGGCAACCUGCCCUACACACAGGAAUAACAAUGAGAAAUCAUUGCUAAUACCAGAUAAGCUUACACUAUCGCAUGGUAGAGUAGGAAAAGAUUUAUCGGUGUAGGAUGGGCCCGCGUCUGAUUAGCUAGUUGGUAAGGUAAUGGCUUACCAAGGCGACGAUCAGUAGCCGACUUGAGAGAGUGAUCGGCCACAUUGGGACUGAGACACGGCCCAAACUCCUACGGGAGGCGGCAGUGGGGAAUAUUGGACAAUGGGGGCAACCCUGAUCCAGCAAUACCGCGUGUGUGAAGAAGGCCCUA